CAAACUGAAGCAUUUCGUAUACAUUAUUUGUCUUCAGGAAGGCAGUGAGUUUCUGCGCAACAGCUUUUUCUAAAUAAUUUCAGCAAAAUGGGAGAUUCGAUAUAGGCCGAUAGUUUAAAAAAAAACAUUUUCCGGGUCAAGGUUUGGCUUUUUCAAGAGAGUCUUUAUUACUGCCACUUUUAGUGAGUUUGGUACACAUCCGGUGGAUAGAGAGCCUUUUAUUAUGUUCAACAAAGGAGGGCCAAGCACAGGAAGCAGCUCUUUCAGUAGUUUAGUUGGAAGCUUAUGGAUGGCUACAACAAGCAUUUGUUGGCAGUUAUCUUUGCCAAAGACUGUGCAACCAACUACUCGGUCCGGGGUGCACACAAUGUCCAUUUACUAAAAUAAAAUUGGUUCUGCAAUGUAGAAAAAGCCAAUAACAAGGUGAGGUGACCAAAAGUUAUAUCUAAAUGUAAACUUAUUUUAGAAGAAAUAGAGACAUUUUUAAAGAAAAGUGCAAGGGUGCUUUAAUCAGAUUCCAUCAUGGAUGAUUGUUUUAUCCAUUUGAAUACAGGGGAUAUCAUAGGCCACUCCAUUAGUAGACUACUGCAGAGGAACCCUCAUGUUCUCUCCUGGAUCACAUUGGUAUUCACUAUUACACAUGCGCCGAAUACAACAGGUGUAGGUAGACAUUACAGUGAAAUGCUGAAUACAACAGGUGUAGUAGACCUCACAGUGAAAUGCUGAAUACAACAGGUGUAGGUAGACAUUACAGUGAAAUGCUGAAUACAACAGGUGUAGGUAGACAUUACAGUGAAAUGCUGAAUACAACAGGUGUAGGUAGACCUUACAGUGAAAUGCUGAAUACAACAGGUGUAGGUAGACAUUACAGUGAAAUGCUGAAUACAACAGGUGUAGGUAGACCUUACAGUGAAAUGCUGAAUACAACAGGUGUAGUAGACAUUACAGUGAAAUGCUGAAUACAACAGGUGUAGUAGACAUUACAGUGAAAUGCUGAAUACAACAGGUGUAGGUAGACAUUACAGUGAAAUGCUGAAUACAACAGGUGUAGGUAGACAUUACAGUGAAAUGCUGAAUACUACAGGUGUAGUAGACCUCACAGUGAAAUGCUGAAUACAACAGGUGUAGUAGACCUUACAGUGAAAUGCUGAAUACAACAG
Oncorhynchus tshawytscha (Chinook salmon) is the source of this 1160-nucleotide long non-coding RNA. The record is from Ensembl. Lineage: Eukaryota; Metazoa; Chordata; Actinopteri; Salmoniformes; Salmonidae.